AUUUAAAUAGUUUAAUAAAAAUAUUGAUUUGUGGUGUCAAGGAUAAGAAAUUUCUUUUUAAAUU
This 64-nucleotide transfer RNA is filed under the name Phaonia perdita. RNAcentral's name for it is "tRNA-His". Lineage: Eukaryota; Metazoa; Arthropoda; Insecta; Diptera; Muscidae. The record is from RNAcentral.